This 1234-nucleotide ribosomal RNA is filed under the name metagenome. RNAcentral's name for it is "bacterial LSU rRNA". It matches the Rfam family "Bacterial large subunit ribosomal RNA", at positions 1564 to 2808 of the family's 2925-position model. The record is from RNAcentral.
UGAGUACGAGAUGCUACGGCAUUGAAGCAGUCUAUGUCAUACUUCCAAGAAAAGCUUGCACUGUCAUAAACAAAGAAUGCCUGUACCAUAACCGACACAGGUGGGUAGGUAGAGUAUACUAAGGGGCGCGAGAUAACUCUCUCUAAGGAACUCGGCAAAAUGACUCCGUAACUUAGGGAGAAGGAGUGCCUUAUUUUUAAGGUUGCAAUAACAAGAUCCAAGCAACUGUUUAUCAAAAACACAGGUCUCCGCUAAGUCGUAAGACGAUGUAUGGGGGCUGACGCCUGCCCAGUGCCAGAAGGUUAAAGAAGUUGGUUAGCAUUCGCGAAGCUGAUAACUGAAGCCCUGGUGAACGGCGGCCGUAACAAUAACGGUCCUAAGGUAGCGAAAUUCCUUGUCGGGUAAGUUCCGACCCGCACGAAAGGCGUAAUGAUUUGGAUACUGUCUCGGAGAGGGACUCGGUGAAAUAGACUUGUCUGUGAAGAUGCGGACUACCUGCACCUGGACAGAAAGACCCUAUGAAGCUUUACUGUAACUUGAAAUUGAAAUUGGACUUUAGUUGCGCAGGAUAGGUGGGAGGCGUUGAGAAUAUUCUUGCGGGAGUAUUGGAGCCAUCAGUGAGAUACCACUCUUCUAAUGUUAGAUUUCUAACUUUGUAUCAUUAUCUGGUCAAAGAACAGUUUCAGGCGGGCAGUUUGACUGGGGCGGUCGCCUCCUAAAGGGUAACGGAGGCGCACAAAGGUUUCCUCUGAACGAGUAGAAAUCGUAUCUAGAGUGUAAAGGCAUAAGGAAGCUUGACUGUGAGACCUACAAGUCGAGCAGGGACGAAAGUCGGUCUUAGUGAUCUGACGGUGCUGAGUGGAAAGGCCGUCACUCAACGGAUAAAAGUUACUCUAGGAUAACAGGCUGAUCUCCCCCAAGAGUUCACAUCGACGGGGAGGUUUGGCACCUCGAUGUCGGCUCAUCGCAUCCUGGGGCGGUAGUACGUCCCAAGGGUUGGGCUGUUCGCCCAUGAAAGCGGUACGCGAGCUGGGUUCAGAACGUCGUGAGACAGUUCGGUCCAUAUCCGGUGUAGGCGUUAGAAUAUUGAGAGGAGCCUUCUCUAGUACGAGAGGACCGAGAAGGACAUACCUCUAGUGUACCAGUUAUCGUGCCAACGGUAAACGCUGGGUAGCUAUGUAUGGAGUGGAUAACCGCUGAAAGCAUCUAAGUGGGAAGCCCACCUCAAGAUAAG